GCUAGCCCAGUCCAUCUGCUGUUGGGGUGGCCCACAGAUUCGUGCUAAUGAUGAGACGUCCAAGAAUUUAGAAAACUGUCGAUAUUGGGGCAUCGGAUGCUGUUGGCUUUAUGACGUAGAGUGCACUCAGAUCCUCUCUAUAUAAGACCAUGGAAGUCUGUAGUUUUAUACAGCAGUUGGGUGAACUUCCAGCUUCCCUUCAAAGCUCCUGCUCCACGCCGUUGGAGCCUUUGAAGUUGGCUGUAAGGUUGAAACUGGGCCCCGCUGGACUAGACCCAGGUCUUUUCCAGCGCAGGCUCCUCAAGGGUCAUGGGUUACUCCCAGAUAGGGCAGUUAGUAGUGGGCUGUCAACGGGUUCGGAGGUCCGUCAGUGUUUCUGGCCUAGCCCGCUAUCUGGCUGGGCUUUGCCUGGAAGGACCGAAGGCCAGGGUGGGUGUAAAAGCUAACAAGACAGGGCUCAAGCUUUCUACAGGAGCUCAUCGGCUGGGUCUGGCCCAUCUAGGAUUUCAAGGGCAUUUUUGUCAUAUAUGAUGCAUGGUGGGAGAUCUUCUAUGAUAAUCAUCAUAGCCUAGGUUCGGGCGUUUUUUAUUUUUUUUUAGGCCGAUUAUGUAGUCAGGCCAGGCACAGGCCUAAGUUUUACUUUGUGAGCUGGGCAUGGACAAUCUAAGGUCUGUCAAAGCAUGGCCCACAGAGUAAAACCUAUGCCCAGGCCCAGGCCCAUGUCAUCCCCAUUGCAGGCCAAAACAAACAGGCCUGACCCAUAAUGAUUAUCCAUGAACCGAGACUGACUCCGGCCUGAGCCCGAGCCCAGCCAUUCACUUCUGUGGAAGAUCUGGGCUGUUCAUUAGGUGUACCUAAUCAUGGAUGAUAUUGAAAAAAAUGCCCUUGAAACCUUCAGCCAGGAUCAGGCGAGAUGAUGGGCUCUUACGUACAGCCCAAUAAUGGUCUGCUUAAUAAAACAGCCAGGCACGAAACCCCGACGGGCCAUAUGCCGACCGUUGACAGCCCUAAGGGUAGUAUUUGAAGUUGAAUCUGCUUGAAAGCCUGACAAGUAGAUAUGGCCCAUGAUCCAUUAACAUAAAUGGGCCUAAGAAACCUGAUUGUCGGCCCGGCCCAGUUGUAGCCUUGACUUAACCCAUAGAAGCGUUGGGAGGACAGUAGCAAUUUGUGUUUGUUGGGCAAGUUUCCUAUCUCCCUCGUAGGCUCCUGGUGCUCUCGGCUAAUGUCGAUAUGGAGUUUUGGGUGCCUUCGAGGGUGAUCGAGAGCUUGCUCCUCAUGAUUCGUGGCGGGCCUGGCAUUGAGUGGGCCAGCGUUAGUUUAGGCACUGAUUUUUAACUGAUUAGAUUCAAAAUUU
Long non-coding RNA from Magnolia sinica, 1354 nucleotides. RefSeq lists it as uncharacterized. The record is from RefSeq and is a predicted model, not a curated record. Lineage: Eukaryota; Viridiplantae; Streptophyta; Magnoliopsida; Magnoliales; Magnoliaceae. The transcript is spliced from 2 exons.